RNAcentral lists this non-coding RNA (311 nucleotides) under Pongo abelii (Sumatran orangutan). The record is from RNAcentral. Lineage: Eukaryota; Metazoa; Chordata; Mammalia; Primates; Hominidae.
ACUAUGUAAAAGGUGCCUUUUGCCUUCCACCAUGAUUGUGAGGCCUCUCCAGAUAUGUGGAACUGUAGAAAUUCAGAAAUUCAGUGUGUAAAAUGGUAAAGUGGAUUGAAGUUGAAGAUAUUAGAUCAUUUAAGAGGUCAAUAAAUGAAGAAAUAAACAGGCAAAUGAGAAGACUGAUGAUGAAGAGGACCUUUAAAAGUGUAUUUCUGUUACAGUUAUAUUUUUUUAAAAAAAAGUGAAUUGAAGCCAUUUAUAAUGAUUGCUAAGAGGCAUGCUAAAGUUUUUAAAACAAAUAAAGCAUUAAAAAAUAA